RNAcentral lists this unclassified non-coding RNA (323 nucleotides) under soil metagenome. Its description in RNAcentral is "partial contains 5.8S ribosomal RNA, internal transcribed spacer 2, and large subunit ribosomal RNA". The stretch from base 1 to 120 matches the Rfam family "5.8S ribosomal RNA", at positions 35 to 154 of the family's 154-position model. The record is from RNAcentral.
GAUGAAGAACGCAGCGAAAUGCGAUAAGUAGUGUGAAUUGCAGAAUUCAGUGAAUCAUCGAAUCUUUGAACGCACAUUGCGCCCCUUGGUAUUCCAUGGGGCAUGCCUGUUCGAGCGUCAUUUGUACCUUCAAGCUUUGCUUGGUGUUGGGUGUUUGUCCUGAGGGACUCGCCUUAAAGUAAUUGGCAGCCAGUGUUUGGUUUUGAAGCGCAGCACAAGUCGCGAUUCAAAGCUAUACGCCCGCUUCCACAAGCCUUUUUCACUUUUGACCUCGGAUCAGGUAGGGAUACCCGCUGAACUUAAGCAUAUCAUUAAGCGGAGGA